This 506-nucleotide long non-coding RNA is filed under the name Sus scrofa (pig). Its description in RNAcentral is "lncRNA (ENSSSCG00050071557.1)". The record is from RNAcentral. Lineage: Eukaryota; Metazoa; Chordata; Mammalia; Artiodactyla; Suidae.
GGCGAAGACAAGGGAGAUCCGGCUACGUCCCUCCCCUAGGUCUCUGGAAGCUGAAGCCGCUGCAGCCAAGGCCUGGUUUCAUUCUGGCUGGGGGCUGAGGGCUGGAGUUGGACAGCCGGCCUCUCUGCGGUUCCCCCAUUAUGGCUUGGCAUCAGCAUCUAGAUUGCAGGAUUGAUGGAGCCAGAAACCUCCUGCAGGGGCCCCCAGAGGUUCUUGCAUCCAGUGUGGCAUCCAGACAGUGUGUGGUUAAUGAGUCCGAAGAAAGGACCAGCGUCGUGGAGGAGUCCGGCAGCCCUGCAGGAGCACCUGGAGCACCUGGCUGUGGAGGGGCUUCUGGAAGGAAGCACAGGAGCAGAGGAAGGAGAAGGAGUUCAAAUGCCCGUACCUCCCGGGAGUUCCCAUCGUGGCGCAGUGGAAACGAAUCCAACUAGGAACCAUAAAGUUGCAGGUUUGAUCCCUGGCCUCGCUUAGUGGGUUAAGGAUCUGGUGUUGCUGUGAGCUGUGGU